CCUACGGGGGGCAGCAGUAGGGAAUCUUCCGCAAUGGACGAAAGUCUGUCGGAGCAACGCCGCGUGAGCGAAGAAGGUCUUCGGAUCGUAAAGCUCUGUUGUUAGGGAAGAACAAGUACGGGAGGAAAUGACCGUACCUUGACGGUACCUAACGAGGAAGCCACGGCUAACUACGUGCCAGCAGCCGCGGUAAUACGUAGGUGGCAAGCGUUGUCCGGAAUGAUUGGUCGUAAAGCGGGCGCAGGCUGUCUUUUAAGUCUGAUGUGAAAUCUUGCGGCGUAACCGCAAGCGGUCAGUGGAAACUGGGAGAGUUGAGUGCAGAAGAGGAAAGCGGAAUUCCACGUGUGGCGGUGAAAUUCGUAGAGAUGUGGAGGAACACCAGUGGCGAAGGCGGCUUUCUGGUCUGUAACUGACGCUGAGGCGCGAAAGCGUGGGGAGCAAACAGGAUUAGAUGCCCGUGUAGUC
RNAcentral lists this ribosomal RNA (465 nucleotides) under uncultured bacterium. Its description in RNAcentral is "bacterial SSU rRNA". It matches the Rfam family "Bacterial small subunit ribosomal RNA", at positions 338 to 795 of the family's 1533-position model. The record is from RNAcentral.